This 253-nucleotide ribosomal RNA is filed under the name uncultured bacterium. RNAcentral's name for it is "partial 16S ribosomal RNA". It matches the Rfam family "Bacterial small subunit ribosomal RNA", at positions 524 to 776 of the family's 1533-position model. The record is from RNAcentral.
GACAGAGGGGGCAAACGUUGUUCGGAAUUACUGGGCGUAAAGCGCGUGUAGGCGGCUCGGAAAGUCGGAUGUGAAAUCCCCAGGCUUAACCUGGGAACUGCAUCCGAUACUGGAUGGCUUGAAUCCGGGAGAGGGAUGCAGAAUUCCAGGUGUAGCGGUGAAAUGCGUAGAUAUCUGGAGGAAUACCGGUGGCGAAGGCGGCAUCCUGGACCGGCAUUGACGCUGAUGAGCGAAAGCUAGGGGAGCAAACGGG